UACAGAGGGUGCAAGCGUUAAUCGGAAUUACUGGGCGUAAAGGGCGCGUAGGUUGUUAUUUAAGUGAGAUGUGAAAUCCCCGGGCUUAACCUGGGAACUGCAUCUUAUACUGGGUAACUGGAGUGCAAUAGAGGGUAGUGGAAUUUCCGGUGUAGCGGUGAAAUGCGUAGAUAUCGGAAGGAACACCAGUGGCGAAGGCGGCUACCUGGAUUGACACUGACACUGAGGCGCGAGAGCGUGGGGAGCAAAC
RNAcentral lists this ribosomal RNA (250 nucleotides) under uncultured bacterium. RNAcentral describes it as "partial 16S ribosomal RNA". It matches the Rfam family "Bacterial small subunit ribosomal RNA", at positions 524 to 773 of the family's 1533-position model. The record is from RNAcentral.